RNAcentral lists this ribosomal RNA (253 nucleotides) under uncultured bacterium. Its description in RNAcentral is "partial 16S ribosomal RNA". It matches the Rfam family "Bacterial small subunit ribosomal RNA", at positions 524 to 776 of the family's 1533-position model. The record is from RNAcentral.
UACGAAGGGGGCGAGCGUUGUUCGGAAUCACUGGGCGUAAAGCGUGCGUAGGCGGUUAUAAAAGUUAGAAGUGAAAGCCCAGGGCUCAACCUUGGAAUUGCUUUUAAAACUGGAUAACUCGAAUCUCGGAGAGGAUAGCGGAAUUGUCAGUGUAGCAGUGAAAUGCGUAGAUAUUGACAGGAACACCAGUGGCGUAAGCGGCUAUCUGGACGAGUAUUGACGCUGAGGCACGAAAGCGUGGGGAUCAAACAGG